GACGAACGCUGGCGGCGUGCUUAACACAUGCAAGUCGAACGGAAAGGCCCUGCUUUUGUGGGGUGCUCGAGCGGCGAACGGGUGAGUAACACGUGAGUAACCUGCCCUUGACUUUGGGAUAACUUCAGGAAACUGGGGCUAAUACCGGAUAGGAGCUCCUGCUGCAUGGUGGGGGUUGGAAAGUUUCGGCGGUUGGGGAUGGACUCGCGGCUUAUCAGCUUGUUGGUGGGGUAGUGGCUUACCAAGGCUUUGACGGGUAGCCGGCCUGAGAGGGUGACCGGCCACAUUGGGACUGAGAUACGGCCCAGACUCCUACGGGAGGCAGCAGUGGGGAAUAUUGCACAAUGGGCGGAAGCCUGAUGCAGCAACGCCGCGUGCGGGAUGGCGGCCUUCGGGUUGUAAACCGCUUUCGCCUGUGACGAAGCGUGAGUGACGGUAAUGGGUAAAGAAGCACCGGCUAACUACGUG
Molecule: ribosomal RNA, 468 nt
Filed under: uncultured bacterium
Lineage: Bacteria
Description: partial 16S ribosomal RNA
Rfam family: Bacterial small subunit ribosomal RNA
Source: RNAcentral